GAGGAAACCGGUGCGAACCCGGUGCGGUCCCGCCACUGUGACCGCGGUUCACCGGUAGACCGGUCGGCCGCGGGAGCCAGGAACUC
Molecule: regulatory RNA element, 86 nt
Organism: Streptomyces sp. CB02056
Lineage: Bacteria; Bacillati; Actinomycetota; Actinomycetes; Kitasatosporales; Streptomycetaceae
Source: Rfam